This 452-nucleotide long non-coding RNA is filed under the name Homo sapiens (human). RNAcentral describes it as "non-protein coding lnc-NKAIN1-5:1". The record is from RNAcentral. Lineage: Eukaryota; Metazoa; Chordata; Mammalia; Primates; Hominidae.
CUCUUUGUUCCGGAGUCAACCGGCCUCGGUCCUGGGAUCGCUGAUUCCACGGAGGAGAGCCAUACCUGGGCGUCUCCACCCCCCACCCCACUGUCUCUGGAGACCAAGGCCGGCGCCGGGGGAGGCGGGUGUGCGGGCGCGCGAGCCGAGCCCUUUGUUCAGGAGAACAUUCCUCAGCGCCAGCCUCCCCACCUGGAGAGCCUGUGGUUCCUGUUUCAGGCUUUGCCUUGGAGAAACUCUCGCCGAGUAUGCAGCUCUCAAGCCUGGCUUCUGGCGCAUCCUACUUCAUGGCCUUCAACGGGUCCUUUGACCUCCCUGAACCUCAAUUUUCUCACUUGUAGAAUGGGAACCAAAAUUCUGACGUCGAAUGAUCGCUGUGAAAUUAAAUUAAAUGCCAAAACACAAAUGUAGAGUAUCUGCAGGCAUAAGAAUAUAAGCCCCAGGAGGAGAGG